GACGAACGCUGGCGGCGUGGAUUAGGCAUGCAAGUCGAACGGUAUCAUCCUUUCGGGGGUGAGAGAGUGGCGAACUGGUGAGUAGCACGUAGGUUAUCUACCCUCAAGACGGGGACAACCCAGGGAAACUUGGGCUAAUACCGGAUGUGAGCAACUUUUAGUUGUUUGAAAGGUGGCGUAAGCUGUCGCUUGGGGAUGAGCCUGCGUCCUAUUAGUUAGUUGGUGAGGUAACGGCUCACCUAGGCAAUGAUAGGUAGGCGGCCUUAACGGGUGGUCGCCCACACUGGGAUUGAGAUACGGCCCAGACUCCUACGGGAGGCAGCAGUCGAGAAUAGUCUACAAUGGUCGGAAGACUGAUAGUGCGACGCCGCGUGAACGAUGAAUCCCUUCGGGGUGUAAAGUUCUUUUAUAUGUGAGCAGUGCUUCUUAUAUUAACAGUAUGGGGAGAGAGAUAUUAGCAUAUGAAUAAGCAACGGCUAACUCGUGCCAGCAGCCGCGGUAA
This 502-nucleotide ribosomal RNA is filed under the name uncultured bacterium. Its description in RNAcentral is "bacterial SSU rRNA". It matches the Rfam family "Bacterial small subunit ribosomal RNA", at positions 28 to 523 of the family's 1533-position model. The record is from RNAcentral.